GCUCUUUCCUUCCGCUUCUCUAUAGUGUGCGGGAAUACGUCUCCCUGCCGCCGGAAGUGGCUAGCUUGCUGCGACCGGUUCCGGGCUUGGAGCGGUGUUCAACAUUAUUUCAGAUCACCCAUGUACCAUCUAAAGCCCCAGUCCUAGGUCGUCAUCAUCACCUUCACCAGCGGAGUGCCUCCUGUGUCAAUGUCCACAGCAACCCCUGAGGUCUCUGCUUUUUCCUCCUGACCUCACCAAACAACCAUGUCAUCAGAAUCAAGCAAAAAACGGAAGCCCAAAGUGAUCCGAAGUGAUGGAGCUCCAGCUGAAGGGAAGCGUAACCGUUCUGACACAGAGCAGGAAGGUAAAUACUACAGCGAGGAGGCUGAAGUGGACCUGCGGGACCCUGGCAGAGACUAUGAACUGUAUAAGUACACAUGCCAGGAGCUACAGAGGCUCAUGGCUGAGAUCCAGGACCUGAAGAGCAGAGGAGGCAAGGAUGUGGCAGUUGAGAUAGAAGAUCGGAGGAUCCAGAGUUGUGUGCAUUUCAUGACUCUAAAGAAGCUUAAUCGAUUAGCCCACAUCAGGUUGAAGAAAGGAAGAGAUCAGACCCAUGAGGCCAAGCAGAAAGUAGACGCCUAUCACCUGCAGCUGCAGAACCUGUUGUAUGAGGUGAUGCACCUGCAGAAAGAGAUCACCAAAUGUCUGGAGUUUAAGUCAAAGCAUGAAGAAAUUGAUUUGGUCAGUUUAGAGGAAUUUUAUAAGGAGGCUCCACCAGAUAUUAGCAAGGCUGAAGUCACCAUGGGAGACCCCCACCAGCAAACCCUUGCACGUCUGGACUGGGAGCUGGAACAGCGGAAAAGGCUGGCAGAGAAGUACCGGGAGUGCCUGUCCAACAAGGAAAAGAUCCUUAAGGAGAUUGAGGUGAAGAAGGAGUACCUAAGCAGCCUCCAGCCUCGCCUCAAUAGCAUCAUGCAGGCUUCCCUCCCCGUGCAAGAGUACCUGUUCAUGCCGUUCGACCAGGCUCACAAGCAAUAUGAGACAGCUAGACACCUGCCACCUCCCCUCUAUGUCCUCUUUGUUCAAGCCACUGCAUAUGGGCAGGCCUGUGCUCAUAUGAAAUCCUCCCAGCCCCCUAGACAGGAUAAGACCUUGUCUGUGGCAAUUGAAGGCAGUGUGGACGAAGCCAAGGCUCUGUUUAAGCCUCCUGAAGACUCCCAAGAUGAUGAGAGCGACUCGGAUGCUGAGGAGGAACAGACCACGAAACGCCGGCGACCCACACUGGGAGUUCAGUUGGAUGACAAACGCAAGGAGAUGCUGAAGAGGCACCCGCUGUCUGUCAUGCUGGACCUGAAGUGCAAAGAUGACAGUGUGCUUCACCUGACUUUCUACUACCUCAUGAACCUCAACAUCAUGACGGUAAAAGCCAAAGUGACGACUGCCACGGAGCUGAUCACCCCCAUCAGUGCAGGUGACUUGCUGUCUCCUGACUCAGUCCUGAGCUGUUUGUAUCCAGGGGACCACGGAAAGAAAACUCCAAAUCCAGCCAAUCAGUAUCAGUUUGAUAAAGUUGGCAUCCUGACUUUGAGAGACUACGUACUUGACCUAGGUCACCCCUAUUUGUGGGUACAAAAGCUGGGUGGCCUCCACUUCCCCAAAGAGCAGCCCCAGCACACGGUGAUUGCUGACCACUCGCUGAGCGCCAGCCACAUGGAGACCACCAUGAAACUGCUGAAGACCAGGGUGCAGUCCCGCCUGGCCCUUCAUAAACAGUUUGCAUCCCUGGAACAUGGCAUUGUACCAGUUACCAGUGAUUGCCAGUGCCUCUUCCCUGCAAAGGUUGUCUCCCGCCUGGUGAAGUGGGUGACAAUUGCCCAUGAGGAUUACAUGGAGCUGCAUUUCACCAAGGACAUUGUGGAGGCGGGACUGGCUGAGGACACCAAUCUCUACUACAUGGCACUUGUGGAAAGGGGCACAGCCAAACUCCAGGCUGCUGUGGUGCUGAACCCUGGAUACUCCUCCAUCCCACCCAUUUUCCAGCUCUGUCUGAACUGGAAAGGGGAGAAAACCAAUAGCAACGAUGACAACAUUCGGGCCAUGGAGAGUGAGGUCAACGUGUGCUACAAGGAGCUGUGCGGCCCCCGGCCCAGCCAUCAGCUCUUGACCAACCAGCUGCAGCGCCUGUGUGUGCUGCUGGAUGUCUACCUGGAGACUGACAGCCAUGACGACAGCGUGGAGGGGCCCAAGGAGUUUCCCCAGGAGAAGAUGUGUCUGCGGCUUUUCAGGGGUCCCAGCAGGAUGAAGCCAUUUAAAUAUAACCAUCCUCAAGGAUUCUUCAGCCAUCGCUGACCUCCCACUCAGCCUGUUGUCUCCCCCUAUGCCCGAAGUGCUGUGCCUCUAUUUUCUGCUUUGGCCCACAUGUGGCUCUUGAUAUUCUCCAAAGACAGCUUCUAGAGUUGGCUUGUGGUUCAUUCCUCCAUCUUGAAAGUGCAUCACUCCAGUCUCUGCUUCUAUCAUCCCAUCACUUCCUCCUCCAACUCUGACACCUGCUCCCUCUAGUGAGGAGCCUUGUGAUGACAAUGGACCCAUCCGGAUAAACCAGGUAAUCUCCCAUCUCAAAAUCCUUGACUUAAUCGCAUCUACGAAGUCCUUUAUGCCAUAUAUGGUAACAUUCACAGGUUCCAGGGAUUAGGACAUGAAUAUCUUUGGAGGACCAUUAUUCACCCUAUUACAUGGCCUGAGUGGGGAGAUGUUUCACUUUUCAUCAGAAAAAAAGAGAAUGGAAGCUGUAGAGGCAAAAGCCAAUGGAGACCCACUAGGAUGGAACAUAAGACAUUUUAUUAUGCAACCAUUUGUGUUUUACUCUUCAGUACUUGUUUUCCCACUAGUCUGCGUGCUCCAGAAAAGGCAGAAACACACUUCUAUUUUGCUCGCCUCUAUAUCCCGAAGGCCUUGCACAAGGUUGAUACACAACAGGAGACCAAUAAACAUUUCUUGAAUGAAUUAAUACAUGAAGUUUAGAGUCUGUGAGGAGAAGAUUAAAGUGAAACGUUAAAUUUAAUAAGUAAACCAGAUUUGGGACAGGCAGAAAGCUAUUUUUAUAAUCAUUAAUGUACUGUGUAAGGCUGACAUUUAUAUAUGACUGUUAAAGAAUCUUCAGGCUUUAGCAAAAAACAAGCAACAUGGUGCGCCUGGGUGGCUCAGU
RNA transcript from Callorhinus ursinus (northern fur seal), 3187 nucleotides. It is a transcript of the gene named THO complex subunit 5, with no coding region annotated. Lineage: Eukaryota; Metazoa; Chordata; Mammalia; Carnivora; Otariidae. The record is from RefSeq and is a predicted model, not a curated record.